UACGGAGGGGGCUAGCGUUGUUCGGAAUUACUGGGCGUAAAGCGCGCGUAGGCGGCUUUGUACGUCAGAGGUGAAAGCCUGGAGCUCAACUCCAGAACUGCCUUUGAAACUACAUCGCUAGAAUCAUGGAGAGGUUAGUGGAAUUCCGAGUGUAGAGGUGAAAUUCGUAGAUAUUCGGAAGAACACCAGUGGCGAAGGCGACUAACUGGACAUGUAUUGACGCUGAGGUGCGAAAGCGUGGGGAGCAAACAGG
This 253-nucleotide ribosomal RNA is filed under the name uncultured bacterium. Its description in RNAcentral is "partial 16S ribosomal RNA". It matches the Rfam family "Bacterial small subunit ribosomal RNA", at positions 524 to 776 of the family's 1533-position model. The record is from RNAcentral.